CCGUAGGUGAACCUGCGGAAGGAUCAUUACCUAGAGUUGUAGGCUUUGCCUGCUAUCUCUUACCCAUGUCUUUUAAGUACCUUCGUUUCCUCGGCGGGUUCGCCCGCCGAUUGGACAAUUUAAACCAUUUGCAGUUGCAAUCAGCGUCUGAAAAAACUUAAUAGUUACAACUUUCAACAACGGAUCUCUUGGUUCUGGCAUCGAUGAAGAACGCAGCGAAAUGCGAUAAGUAGUGUGAAUUGCAGAAUUCAGUGAAUCAUCGAAUCUUUGAACGCACAUUGCGCCCCUUGGUAUUCCAUGGGGCAUGCCUGUUCGAGCGUCAUUUGUACCUUCAAGCUCUGCUUGGUGUUGGGUGUUUGUCUCGCCUCUGCGUGUAGACUCGCCUCAAAACAAUUGGCAGCCGGCGUAUUGAUUUCGGAGCGCAGUACAUCUCGCGCUUUGCACUCAUAACGACGACGUCCAAAAGUACAUUUUUACACUCUUGACCUCGGAUCAGGUAGGGAUACCCGCUGAACUUAAGCAUAUCAAUAAGCGGAGGA
RNAcentral lists this ribosomal RNA (539 nucleotides) under uncultured fungus. RNAcentral's name for it is "eukaryotic LSU rRNA". The stretch from base 169 to 322 matches the Rfam family "5.8S ribosomal RNA". Lineage: Eukaryota; Fungi. The record is from RNAcentral.